UGGGGGAUAUUGCACAAUGGGCGAAAGCCUGAUGCAGCGACGCCGCGUGGGGGAUGAAGGCUUUCGGGUUGUAAACCUCUUUCGCUAUCGAACAAGGCCCGCUUAGGGUGGGUUGAGGGUAGGUGGAGAAGAAGCGCCGGCUAACUACGUGCCAGCAGCCGCGGUAAUACGUAGGGCGCGAGCGUUGUCCGGAAUUAUUGGGCGUAAAGGGCUUGUAGGCGGCUUGUUGCGCCUGCUGUGAAAACGCGGGGCUUAACUUCGCGCGUGCUGUGGGUACGGGAAGGCUUGAGUGUGGUAGGGGUGACUGGAAUUCCAGGUGUAGCGGUGGAAUGCGCAGAUAUCUGGAGGAACACCGAUGGCGAAGGCAGGUCACUGGGCCAUUACUGACGCUGAGGAGCGAAAGCAUGGGUAGCGAACAGG
This 420-nucleotide ribosomal RNA is filed under the name bacterium. RNAcentral's name for it is "partial 16S ribosomal RNA". It matches the Rfam family "Bacterial small subunit ribosomal RNA", at positions 355 to 776 of the family's 1533-position model. The record is from RNAcentral.